CAGGCUGCAACUCGCCUGCAUGAAGUCGGAAUUGCUGUAAUCGCGGAUCAGCAUGCCGCGGUGAAUACGUUCCCGGGCCUUGUACACACCGCCCGUCACACCAUGAGAGCCGGUAACACCCGAAGUCAAUAGUCUAACCGCAAGGAGGACAUUGCCGAAGGUGGGAUUGGUAAUUGGGGUGAAGUCGUAACAAGGUACC
This 199-nucleotide ribosomal RNA is filed under the name uncultured bacterium. Its description in RNAcentral is "partial 16S ribosomal RNA". It matches the Rfam family "Bacterial small subunit ribosomal RNA", at positions 1301 to 1500 of the family's 1533-position model. The record is from RNAcentral.